This 73-nucleotide transfer RNA is filed under the name Ipomoea nil (Japanese morning glory). It matches the Rfam family "tRNA". Rfam says of the family: Transfer RNA (tRNA) molecules are approximately 80 nucleotides in length. The record is from Rfam by way of RNAcentral. Lineage: Eukaryota; Viridiplantae; Streptophyta; Magnoliopsida; Solanales; Convolvulaceae.
GGGGAUGUAGCUCAGAUGGCAGAGCGCUCGCUUAGCAUGCGAGAGGUACGGGGAUUGAUACCCUGCAUCUCCA